RNAcentral lists this ribosomal RNA (232 nucleotides) under uncultured bacterium. Its description in RNAcentral is "partial 16S ribosomal RNA". It matches the Rfam family "Bacterial small subunit ribosomal RNA", at positions 111 to 334 of the family's 1533-position model. The record is from RNAcentral.
UAACACGUAGGUAACCGGCCCAUGUGUCCGGGAUAACUGCUGGAAACGGUAGCUAAAACCGGAAUAGGUAUACAGAGCGCAUGCUCAGUAUAUUAAAGACGCCCAUCAAGGCGUGAACAUGGAUGGACCUGCGGCGCAUUAGCUAGUUGGUGGGGUAACGGCCCACCAAGGCGAUGAUGCGUAGCCGGCCUGAGAGGGUAAACGGCCACAUUGGGACUGAGACACGGCCCAA